UAAGGAAUAUUGGUCAAUGGACGCAAGUCUGAACCAGCCAUGCCGCGUGGAGGAUUAAGGCCCUCUGGGUUGUAAACUCCUUUUAUCUGGGAAGAAAUGUACUUUUUCUUGAUUACUUGACGGUACCAGAGGAAUAAGCACCGGCUAACUCCGUGCCAGCAGCCGCGGUAAUACGGAGGGUGCAAGCGUUAUCCGGAUUCACUGGGUUUAAAGGGUGCGUAGGUGGGCAGGUAAGUCAGUGGUGAAAUCUCCGAGCUUAACUUGGAAACUGCCGUUGAUACUAUAGGUCUUGAAUUAUCUGGAGGUAAGCGGAAUAUGUCAUGUAGCGGUGAAAUGCUUAGAUAUGACAUAGAACACCAAUUGCGAAGGCAGCUUACUACAUAUAAAUUGACGCUGAGGCACGAAAGCGUGGGGAUCAAACA
Molecule: ribosomal RNA, 422 nt
Filed under: uncultured bacterium
Lineage: Bacteria
Description: bacterial SSU rRNA
Rfam family: Bacterial small subunit ribosomal RNA
Source: RNAcentral